RNAcentral lists this ribosomal RNA (261 nucleotides) under uncultured archaeon. Its description in RNAcentral is "partial 16S ribosomal RNA". It matches the Rfam family "Archaeal small subunit ribosomal RNA", at positions 748 to 1009 of the family's 1478-position model. The record is from RNAcentral.
CAGCCCUAAACGAUGCGCGUUAGGUGUAUCGGUGACCACGAGUCACCGAGGUGCCGAAGGGAAGCCGUGAAACGUGCCGCCUGGGAAGUACGGUCGCAAGGCUGAAACUUAAAGGAAUUGGCGGGGGAGCACCACAACGGGUGGAGCUUGCGGUUUAAUUGGAUUCAACGCCGGAAAUCUUACCGGGACCGACAGCAACAUGAAGGCCAGGCUGAAGACUUUGCCGGAUUAGCUGAGAGGAGGUGCAUGGCGUAGUCGUGU